This 90-nucleotide transfer RNA is filed under the name Planctomycetota bacterium. RNAcentral's name for it is "Planctomycetes bacterium (bioreactor metagenome) tRNA-Ser". It matches the Rfam family "tRNA". Rfam says of the family: Transfer RNA (tRNA) molecules are approximately 80 nucleotides in length. Their secondary structure includes four short double-helical elements and three loops (D, anti-codon, and T loops). Lineage: Bacteria; Pseudomonadati; Planctomycetota. The record is from RNAcentral.
GGAGAGGUGGCUGAGCGGCUGAAGGCACCGGUUUCGAAAACCGGCAUGUGCGCAAGUGCAUCGAGGGUUCAAAUCCCUCCCUCUCCGCCA